This is a small nucleolar RNA of Suncus etruscus (white-toothed pygmy shrew), 155 nucleotides long. RefSeq annotates it as small nucleolar RNA SNORA57. The transcript has a single exon. NCBI's taxonomy places the organism in Eukaryota, Metazoa, Chordata, Mammalia, Eulipotyphla, Soricidae. The record is from RefSeq and is a predicted model, not a curated record.
CCUUGAGCGUCUACCAGGUAUGGCCCCAAAAUAAAAAAAAUUACUCGCCUGUAAUGUCUGGAGGUAGAGGGCAAGGGCCCCAUGCUCUUCGGCAUCAUGUCUUCGGUGCCGUGGUUUGCAAUCCGCCCAUUCUAUCCUCAAAGGCCAGGACACAA